RNA transcript from Canis lupus familiaris (dog), 1980 nucleotides. It is a transcript of the gene named histone H2A type 2-C-like, with no coding region annotated. The transcript has 4 exons. The record is from RefSeq and is a predicted model, not a curated record. NCBI's taxonomy places the organism in Eukaryota, Metazoa, Chordata, Mammalia, Carnivora, Canidae.
GGACUCUGGGGCGACUUUCUCGGUCGUCGAGCGGGAGGUGUUUGCAGUGAGCGUCGCUGUCAUGUCUGGUCGUGGCAAACAAGGAGGCAAGGCCCGCGCCAAGGCCAAAUCGCGCUCGUCCCGCGCCGGCCUGCAGUUCCCAGUGGGGCGCGUGCACCGGCUGCUGCGUAAGGGCAACUACGCCGAGCGGGUGGGGGCCGGCGCUCCCGUCUACAUGGCGGCCGUGCUGGAGUACCUGACGGCCGAGAUCCUGGAGCUGGCGGGCAACGCGGCCCGCGACAACAAGAAGACGCGUAUCAUCCCCCGCCACCUGCAGCUGGCCAUCCGCAACGACGAGGAGCUCAACAAGCUGCUGGGCAAGGUCACCAUCGCCCAGGGCGGCGUCCUGCCCAACAUCCAGGCUGUGUUGCUCCCUAAGAAGACGGAGAGCCACCACAAGGCGAAGGGCAAGUGAGGCCGGCGUCCGGAAGCCCAGCCAGCCCUGGUCUCGAAGGGGACACCUGUGAAAUCCAAAGGCUCUUUUAAGAGCCACCCACUCUGUCAAAUAAAAGGAGUUGUAUACAGUGUCCACCUCUGCCAGUCUUGUGCGGAGGCCCAAGGCGUGGAGGGGGAGAGGGGUUGUCCCUCAACGGUUCCUCGACCCCGAGCCUUGGGCGCUCGGCCUUCUUGACCUGGUCUGGUGGGUCGUGGACCUUAGGACUUGGUGGCGCAGCUGGGGGGGCCCGGACCCCCAGGGCGCAGCCACGGUCGACUCCGUCCUAAGAACUGAGAGGCGGUCCCCGACUCUUGCCUCGCGCGCAGCUCCCUCCCCAGUUCCCGAGGCCCGCGCCCCCGCCCCCACCCACACGCACGUGCACUCCCGGCCGGCAGGGCAGCGGGCAGUUUCCGGGAGUGAGUGUGGCGGGCCCGGUCCUCGGCUUAACUGAGCCGGCUUACUCCGGAAAAAAAAAAAGAGAUCAGGACAGCCAACACAGAGGGAUGACCAUAAGAGAGGCAUGUGAGAAGGCAGCCAUCUUCAAGUUGAGGAGAGGCCUCAAAAGAAACCAACCUGAUGACAAAGAUCUUGGACUUCUGGCCUCUAGAACUAACCUAACAGCACGAGUCGCCAAAAUGAUAGACUACAGUUCCCGUGAGCCCUCACGUGGCGUCUGCCCAUUCUACUAUCGCGUAGCGAGGACUCCAUUUCCCAGAGUGCCUCAGGAUGCGACGACGACCUUACUCUCCGAGAACUUCUGGGGUCCGGUGACUGACACGCGACUGCGGUAGCCGAGGCUGAGCGGAAGGUCGCGUCUGUCUGUCCCGGAGCAGCGCGGGACUGGGAACCAUCGGUCCCGUCGAGGCAGCCAUUCGCACAAAGUUGGAGCAGGCCUUGAACCCCGAGGUGUUGGAGCUGCGCAACGAGAGCGACGCCCAUGCGGUCCCACCAGGCAGCGAGACGCAUUUCCGCGUGGCGGUGGUGAGCUCUCGCUUUGAAGGACUGAGCCCCUUACAACGGCACCGGCUGGUCCACGCCGCCCUGUCUGAGGAGCUGGCUGGGCGGGUGCACGCACUGGCCAUACAGACACGGACCCCCGCCCAGUGGAAGGAAAAUCCUCAACUAGACAUGAGCCCCCCUUGCCUGGGUGGGAACAAGAAAACUCGGGGAACCCCCUGAGCCCCAAAGGAGGGAAGGCCAGGAUUCUAAUGGUUUGUCUGGGAAUAAACUACGGGCUUUCUGCCAAUAUGGUCUGGUGUUUGUAAGCGAUGAGAGGCCCCAUUCAACCAGUGCGUACAUUCUCUCUGGACAUGACUCAGUUUAGAUCAAAGCUAUCCAAGCAAAGAGUAGAAUCACUCUCCACCCCCCUUGCCCUGAUCUAUUUAGGAAAAGCUGCCUGGGCGUUUCAUGUUAAAUUGUGACUAAGAUAUAUGUUGGCAAAUUGAAUUUAAUUUUUUUUAAAUGCAAAUUUAAAAAAAAAAAAAAAAAACCUAUGGCCCCAUCAC